This is a long non-coding RNA of Oncorhynchus mykiss (rainbow trout), 2256 nucleotides long. The record is from Ensembl. Lineage: Eukaryota; Metazoa; Chordata; Actinopteri; Salmoniformes; Salmonidae.
AUGGGGGAGAGAGUUCAGAGACACAGGAGAGAGAGUUCAGAGACACAGGGGAGAGAGUUCAGAGAGUUCAGAGACACAGGGGAGAGAGUUCAGAGACACAGGGGAGAGAGUUCAGAGAGUUCAGAGACACAGGGGAGAGAGUUCAGAGACACAGGGGAGAGAGUUCAGAGACACAGGGGAGAGAGUUCAGAGACAGAAGAGAGAGUUCAGAGACACAGGAGAGAGAGUUCAGAGACACAGGAGAGAGAGUUCAGAGACACAGGGAGAGAGUUCAGAGUGUUCAGAGACACAGGGGAGAGAGUUCAGAGACACAGGGGAGAGAGUUCAGAGACACAGGGGAGAGAGUUCAGAGACAGGAGAGAGAGUUCAGAGACACAGGAGAGAGAGUUCAGAGACACAGGGGAGAGAGUUCAGAAAGGCAGAGACACAGGGGAGAGAGGCAGAGACACAGGGGAGAGAGUUCAGAGAGUUCAGAGACACAGGGGAGAGAGUUCAGAGACACAGGGUAGAGAGUUCAGAGACACAGGGGAGAGAGUUCAGAGAGGGGGAGACACAGGGGAGAGAGUUCAGAGACACAGGGGAGAGAGUUCAGAGACACAGGGGAGAGAGUUCAGAGACACAGGGGAGAGAGUUCAGAGACACAGGGGAGAGAGUUCAGAGACACAGGGAGAGAGUUCAGAGACAGGAGAGAGAGUUCAGAGACACAGGAGAGAGAGUUCAGAGACACAGGAGAGAGAGUUCAGAGACACAGGGGAGAGAGUUCAGAGACACAGGGGAGAGAGUUCAGAGACACAGGGGAGAGAGUUCAGAGACACAGGGGAGAGAGUUCAGAGAGGGGGAGACACAGGGGAGAGAGUUCAGAGAGGCAGAGACACAGGGGAGAGAGUUCAGAGACACAGGGGAGAGAGUUCAGAGACACAGGGGAGAGAGGCAGAGACACAGGGGAGAGAGUUCAGAGACACAGGGGAGAGAGGCAGAGACACCGGGGAGAGAGUUCAGAGACACAGGGGAGAGAGGCAGAGACACAGGGGAGAGAGUUCAGAGACACAGGGGAGAGAGUUCAGAGACACAGGGGAGAGAGUUCAGAGACACAGGGGAGAGAGGCAGAGACACAGGGGGGAGAGGCAGAGACACAGGGGAGAGAGUUCAGAGACACAGGGGAGAGAGUUCAGAGACACAGGGGAGAGAGUUCAGAGAGUUCAGAGACACAGGGGAGAGAGUUCAGAGUCACAGGGGAGAGAGUUCAGAGACAGGAGAGAGAGUUCAGAGACACAGGAGAGAGAGUUCAGAGACACAGGGGAGAGAGUUCAGAAAGGCAGAGACACAGGGGAGAGAGGCAGAGAAACAGGGGAGAGAGUUCAGAGAGUUCAGAGACACAGGGGAGAGAGUUCAGAGACACAGGGUAGAGAGUUCAGAGACACAGGGGAGAGAGGCAGAGACACAGGGGAGAGAGUUCAGAGAGGCAGAGACACAGGGGAGAGAGUUCAGAGACACAGGGGAGAGAGUUCAGAGACACAGGGGAGAGAGGCAGAGACACAGGGGAGAGAGGCAGAGACACAGGGGAGAGAGUUCAGAGACACAGGGGAGAGAGGCAGAGACACAGGGGAGAGAGUUCAGAGACACAGGGGAGAGAGGCAGAGACACAGGGGAGAGAGUUCAGAGACACAGGGGAGAGAGGCAGAGACACAGGGGAGAGAGUUCAGAGACACAGGGGAGAGAGGCAGAGACACAGGGGAGAGAGUUCAGAGACACAGGGGAGAGAGGCAGAGACACAGGGGAGAGAGUUCAGAGACACAGGGGAGAGAGUUCAGAGAAACAGGGGAGCGAGUUCAGAGACACAGGGGAGAGAGUUCAGAGACACAGGGGAAAGAGUUCAGAGACACAGGGGAGAGAGUUCAGAGACACAGGGGAGAGGGGCAGAGACACAGGGGGGAGAGGCAGAGACACAGGGGAGAGAGUUCAGAGACACAGGGGAGAGAGUUCAGAGACACAGGGGAGAGAGUUCAGAGACACAGGGGGAAGAGCGAGAGGGACAGAGAGAAAGAGCGAGAGAAGGACAACAAAGAAAGAGAGAGGGGCGACAGAGGGAUGACACAGAGAAAGGGAGAGGAAAAGAGAGCGAGAGAUACGACACAGAAAUAUAGCACAAUUAGACCCAACCAAAUCAUGAGAAAACCAAAAGAUAAUUACUUGCUUGACACAUUGGAAAUAAUUAACAAAAAAAAUAGAGCAAACUGGAAUGGUAUGUGGUCCUAA